RNAcentral lists this ribosomal RNA (440 nucleotides) under uncultured bacterium. RNAcentral describes it as "partial 16S ribosomal RNA". It matches the Rfam family "Bacterial small subunit ribosomal RNA", at positions 338 to 795 of the family's 1533-position model. The record is from RNAcentral.
CCUACGGGAGGCAGCAGUGGGGAAUAUUGCACAAUGGGGGAAACCCUGAUGCAGCGACGCCGCGUGAGUGAAGAAGUAAUUCGUUAUGUAAAGCUCUAUCAGCAGGGAAGAAAAUGACGGUACCUGAGUAAGAAUCCCCGGCUAACUACGUUCCAGCAGCCGCGGUAAUACGUAGGGGGCAAGCGUUAUCCGGAUUUACUGGGUGUAAAGGGAGAGUAGACGGCAGUGCAAGUCUGUAGUGAAAGGCGGGGGCUCAACCCCCGGACUGCUCUGGAAACUGUACGGCUGGAGUGCAGGAGAGGUAAGUGGAAUUCCUAGUGUAGCGGUGAAAUGCGUAGAUAUGAGGAGGAACCCCAGUGGCGAAGGCGGCUUACUGGACUGUAACUGACGUUGAGGCUCGAAAGCGUGGGGAGCGAACAGGAUUAGAUACCCCUGUAGUC